RNAcentral lists this ribosomal RNA (1506 nucleotides) under uncultured prokaryote. RNAcentral describes it as "partial 16S ribosomal RNA". It matches the Rfam family "Bacterial small subunit ribosomal RNA". The record is from RNAcentral.
AGAGUUUGAUCAUGGCUCAGAUUGAACGCUGGCGGCAGGCUUAACACAUGCAAGUCGAGCGGUAACAGAGAUAGCUUGCUAUCUGCUGACGAGCGGCGGACGGGUGAGUAAUGUCUGGGAAACUGCCUGAUGGAGGGGGAUAACUACUGGAAACGGUAGCUAAUACCGCAUAACGUCGCAAGACCAAAGAGGGGGACCUUAGGGCCUCUUGCCAUCGGAUGUGCCCAGAUGGGAUUAGCUAGUAGGUGGGGUAACGGCUCACCUAGGCGACGAUCCCUAGCUGGUCUGAGAGGAUGACCAGCCACACUGGAACUGAGACACGGUCCAGACUCCUACGGGAGGCAGCAGUGGGGAAUAUUGCACAAUGGGCGCAAGCCUGAUGCAGCCAUGCCGCGUGUAUGAAGAAGGCCUUCGGGUUGUAAAGUACUUUCAGCGGGGAGGAAGGGAGUAAAGUUAAUACCUUUGCUCAUUGACGUUACCCGCAGAAGAAGCACCGGCUAACUCCGUGCCAGCAGCCGCGGGAAUACGGAGGGUGCAAGCGUUAAUCGGAAUUACUGGGCGUAAAGCGCACGCAGGCGGUUUGUUAAGUCAGAUGUGAAAGCCCCGGGCUUAACCUGGGAACUGUAUUCAAAACUGCCUAGCUAGAGUACGAUAGAGGGGGGUAGAAUUUCAGGUGUAGCGGUGAAAUGCGUAGAGAUCUGAAGGAAUACCAGUGGCGAAGGCGGCCCCCUGGAUUGAUACUGACACUGAGGUGCGAAAGCGUGGGUAGCAAACAGGAUUAGAUACCCUGGUAGUCCAUGCCGUAAACGAUGUCAACUAGCCGUUGGAAGACUUGAUCUUUUAGUGGCGCAGCUAACGCAAUAAGUUGACCGCCUGGGGAGUACGGCCGCAAGGUUAAAACUCAAAUGAAUUGACGGGGGCCCGCACAAGCGGUGGAGCAUGUGGUUUAAUUCGAAGCAACGCGAAGAACCUUACCUACUCUUGACAUCCUCAGAACUUAGCAGAGAUGCUUUGGUGCCUUCGGGAACUGAGUGACAGGUGCUGCAUGGCUGUCGUCAGCUCGUGUUGUGAAAUGUUGGGUUAAGUCCCGUAACGAGCGCAACCCUUGUCCUUAUUUGCCAGCACGUAAUGGUGGGAACUUUAAGGAGACUGCCGGUGACAAACCGGAGGAAGGUGGGGACGACGUCAAGUCAUCAUGGCCCUUAUGAGUAGGGCUACACACGUGCUACAAUGGCCGGUACAGAGGGCAGCAAGACCGCGAGGUGGAGCAAAUCCCAGAAAGCUGGUCGUAGUCCGGAUUGGAGUCUGCAACUCGACUCCAUGAAGUCGGAAUCGCUAGUAAUCGCAUAUCAGCAAUGAUGCGGUGAAUCCGUUCCCGGGCCUGGUACACACCGCCCGUCACACCAUGGGAGUGGGUUGCACCAGAAGUGGUUAGUCUAACCUUCGGGAGGACGAUCACCACGGUGUGAUUCAUGACUGGGGUGAAGUCGUAACAAGGUAGCCCUA